RNAcentral lists this ribosomal RNA (497 nucleotides) under uncultured bacterium. RNAcentral describes it as "partial 16S ribosomal RNA". It matches the Rfam family "Bacterial small subunit ribosomal RNA", at positions 28 to 507 of the family's 1533-position model. The record is from RNAcentral.
GAUGAACGCUGGCGGCGUGCCUAAUACAUGCAAGUCGAGCGAACGGACGAGAAGCUUGCUUCUCUGAUGUUAGCGGCGGACGGGUGAGUAGCACGUGGAUAACCUACCUAUAAGACUGGGAUAACUUCGGGAAACCGGAGCUAAUACCGGAUGAUAUUUUGAACCGCAUGGUUCAAAAGUGAAAGACGGUCUUGCUGUCACUUAUAGAUGGAUCCGCGCUGCAUUAGCUAGUUGGUAAGGUAACGGCUUACCAAGGCAACGAUGCAUAGCCGACCUGAGAGGGUGAUCGGCCACACUGGAACUGAGACACGGUCCAGACUCCUUCGGGAGGCAGCAGUAGGGAAUCUUCCGCAAUGGGCGAAAGCCUGACGGAGCAACGCCGCGUGAGUGAUGAAGGUCUUCGGAUCGUAAAACUCUGUUAUUAGGGAAGAACAUAUGUGUAAGUAACUGUGCACAUCUUGACGGUACCUAAUCAGAAAGCCACGGCUAACUACGUG